This 712-nucleotide long non-coding RNA is filed under the name Homo sapiens (human). Its description in RNAcentral is "HSALNT0244172". Lineage: Eukaryota; Metazoa; Chordata; Mammalia; Primates; Hominidae. The record is from RNAcentral.
CUCGAACUCCUGGCCUCAGGUGAUCCACCCGCCUUGGCUGCCCAAAGUGCUGGGAUUACAGGCAUGAGCCACUGCACCCAACUCCUCUUUCGUCUUUCUUUAACACACACUAGGCUCUUUGUGUAUUAUGAUUCAGUGCUAUUUGUAACUGUGUCCCAGUGACCAAAUUGCACUCGACUCGAUCAGCUGUUCAUCCAUUUCGUGUUUUUUCCUGUCAAACAUUAAUCCAGCAAAUAUAUGAGGUAUUUACCAAUUUAUUUUCUUAGUAUUACAAAAUAAUUCAUUAGCAUAAAGUACAAUAGUGAAAUAUUUGAGUUGUUCGGAACCUCAAUUAAUCCUGUUUUACAUUUCAGACCUAAAGCUGGCAAUCAGGAGAAGAAGCACUUUGUUUUAAAUGUGGAGAAGAUAACACUUGAUUCCAUUUCAUUGUCAUUAGUGUAUUAACCAGCAGGAGAGGUGAUGAGCCAUUUUUCAAAUGAAAUACCUUUUAUUUCCAUAUAAUUUUUUUAUUUUAGAGUUCAAUAGCUGUUUCUAUGAUUAUCCUCAAUUUCCAUAUGUUACUGAAUCUGAAAAACAUCUUUAAAAUUCAAACAGUUCCAUUUUCUCUCUUGUAAGUGUUAAAUGUGAUAAAAGUACAUAUUUUAAAUUGUUUUCAGCUCUUGGAUAUAGCAGCAAUAAAAACACUAAUUUGUGGGUAUUUAAGAAAACCUGG